GGAAGCAGAGUUAAUAAUGUGCAAUGGAGAAAUGAAAAUGUAUGAAAAGUUUAUGGAGUGUUCCCUGAUAAUAUUGCCCAAAGGAAGCAGAUAUAAGGUAAAUAAAAAUGGUCCGAGCACAGAACCUUGUGGAACUCCGUGACUAACGUUGGUGGUCAUCGAGGUCAUCGUUUACAAUUACAAACUGAGAUCGAUCUGAUAAAUAGGAUAUAAAGCAACAGUGCGGUGUCUGGGAUGCAAAUCGACUGAUCCAGUGUCGAACGCAGCACUAAGGUCUAACAAGACCAGUAGAAAUGAGUCCUUUAUCAGCACUAAGGUCUAACAAGACCAGUAGAGAGAUGAGUCCUUUAUCAGCACUAAGGUCUAACAAGACCAGUAGAGAUGAGUCCUUUAUCAGCACUAAGGUCUAACAAGACCAGUAGAGAUGAGUCCUUUAUCAGCACUAAGGUCUAACAAGACCAGUACAGAGAUGAGUCCUUUAUCAGCACUAAGGUCUAACAAGACCAGUACAGAGAUGAGUCCUUUAUCAGCACGAAGGUCUAACAAGACCAGUAGAGAUAAGUCCUUUAUCAGCACUAAGGUCUAACAAGACCAGUACAGAGAUGAGUCCUUUAUCAGCACUAAGGUCUAACAAGACCAGUACAGAGAUGAGUCCUUUAUCAGCACUAAGGUCUAACAAGACCAGUACAGAGAUGAGUCCUUUAUCAGCACGAAGGUCUAACAAGACCAGUAGAGAUGAGUCCUUUAUCAGGACUAAGGUCUAACAAGACCAGUAUAGAGAUGAGUCCUUUAUCAGCACUAAGGUCUAACAAGACCAGUAGAGAUGAGUCCUUUAUCAGCACUAAGGUCUAACAAGACCAGUACAGAGAUGAGUCCUUUAUCAGCACUAAGGUCUAACAAGACCAGUACAGAGAUGAGUCCUUUAUCAGCACGAAGGUCUAACAAGACCAGUAGAGAUAAGUCCUUUAUCAGCACUAAGGUCUAACAAGACCAGUACAGAGAUGAGUCCUUUAUCAGCACGAAGGUCUAACAAGACCAGUACAGAGAUGAGUCCUUUAUCAGCACUAAGGUCUAACAAGACCAGUAGAGAUGAGUCCUUUAUCAGGACUAAGGUCUAACAAGACCAGUAUAGAGAUGAGUCCUUUAUCAGCACUAAGGUCUAACAAGACCAGUAGAGAUGAGUCCUUUAUCAGCACUAAGGUCUAACAAGACCAGUAGAGAUGAGUCCUUUAUCAGCACUAAGGUCUAACAAGACCAGUAGAGAGAUGAGUCCUUUAUCAACACUAAGGUCUAACAAGACCAGUAGAGAUGAGUCCUUUAUCAACACUAAGGUCUAACAAGACCAGUAGAGAUGAGUCCUUUAUCAGCACUAAGGUCUAACAAGACCAGUACAGAGAUGAGUCCUUUAUCAGCACUAAGGUCUAACAAGACCAGUACAGAGAUGAGUCCUUUAUCAGCACGAAGGUCUAACAAGACCAGUAGAGAUGAGUCCUUUAUCAGGACUAAGGUCUAACAAGACCAGUAUAGAGAUGAGUCCUUUAUCAGCACUAAGGUCUAACAAGACCAGUAGAGAUGAGUCCUUUAUCAGCACUAAGGUCUAACAAGACCAGUACAGAGAUGAGUCCUUUAUCAGCACUAAGGUCUAACAAGACCAGUACAGAGAUGAGUCCUUUAUCAGCACGAAGGUCUAACAAGACCAGUAGAGAUAAGUCCUUUAUCAGCACUAAGGUCUAACAAGACCAGUACAGAGAUGAGUCCUUUAUCAGCACGAAGGUCUAACAAGACCAGUAGAGAUGAGUCCUUUAUCAGGACUAAGGUCUAACAAGACCAGUAUAGAGAUGAGUCCUUUAUCAGCACUAAGGUCUAACAAGACCAGUAGAGAUGAGUCCUUUAUCAGCACUAAGGUCUAACAAGACCAGUAGAGAUGAGUCCUUUAUCAGCACUAAGGUCUAACAAGACCAGUACAGAGAUGAGUCCUUUAUCAACACUAAGGUCUAACAAGACCAGUAGAGAGAUGAGUCCUUUAUCAACACUAAGGUCUAACAAGACCAGUAGAGAGAUGAGUCCUUUAUCAGCACUAAGGUCUAACAAGACCAGUACAGAGAUGAGUCCUUUAUCAGCACUAAGGUCUAACAAGACCAGUACAGAGAUGAGUCCUUUAUCAGCACGAAGGUCUAACAAGACCAGUAGAGAUGAGUCCUUUAUCAGGACUAAGGUCUAACAAGACCAGUAUAGAGAUGAGUCCUUUAUCAGCACUAAGGUCUAACCAGACCAGUAGAGAUGAGUCCUUUAUCAGCACUAAGGUCUAACAAGACCAGUACAGAGAUGAGUCCUUUAUCAGCACGAAGGUCUAACAAGACCAGUACAGAGAUGAGUCCUUUAUCAGGACUAAGGUCUAACAAGACCAGUAGAGAUGAGUCCUUUAUCAGGACUAAGGUCUAACAAGACCAGUAUAGAGAUGAGUCCUUUAUCAGCACUAAGGUCUAACAAGACCAGUAGAGAUGAGUCCUUUAUCAGCACUAAGGUCUAACUAGACCAGUACAGAGAUGAGUCCUUUAUCAGCACGAAGGUCUAACAAGACCAGUAGAGAUAAGUCCUUUAUCAGCACUAAGGUCUAACAAGACCAGUACAGAGAUGAGUCCUUUAUCAGCACGAAGGUCUAACAAGACCAGUACAGAGAUGAGUCCUUUAUCAGGACUAAGGUCUAACAAGACCAGUAGAGAUAAGUCCUUUAUCAGCACUAAGGUCUAACAAGACCAGUACAGAGAUGAGUCCUUUAUCAGGACUAAGGUCUAACAAGACCAGUACAGAGAUGAGUCCUUUAUCAGGACUAAGGUCUAACAAGACCAGUAGAGAUGAGUCCUUUAUCAGGACUAAGGUCUAACAAGACCAGUAUAGAGAUGAGUCCUUUAUCAGCACUAAGGUCUAACAAGACCAGUAGAGAUGAGUCCUUUAUCAGCACUAAGGUCUAACAAGACCAGUAGAGAUGAAUCCUUUAUCAGCACUAAGGUCUAACAAGACCAGUAUAGAGAUGAGUCCUUUAUCUGAUGCCAUUAGGAGGUCAUUUGUAAUUUUCGCCAGUGCUGUCUCGGUGGUGUUUUCUAAAUCCUGACAACCUCCUCAAAUAAACUAUUAUGAUGUAGAAAGUCACACAACUGGUGUGCGACCACUUUCUCAAGGAUCUUGGAGAGGAACGGAAGGUGAGAUAUUGGUCUGUAGUUAGCCAACACCUCUGGAUCCAGAGUGAUGUAACACUUAUGCCAGAGCCAUGACUCCAAUAAUAAUGAAUAUGGAUCUGAGGCGCGAUGUAAAUGUUUAUGAAACUAACAAACCGGUGUCGUUGUGUCUCC
Molecule: long non-coding RNA, 3350 nt
Organism: Pseudoliparis swirei
Lineage: Eukaryota; Metazoa; Chordata; Actinopteri; Perciformes; Liparidae
Exons: 3
Source: RefSeq, a predicted model, not a curated record